This 535-nucleotide ribosomal RNA is filed under the name Nanochromis parilus. Its description in RNAcentral is "partial 16S ribosomal RNA". It matches the Rfam family "Bacterial large subunit ribosomal RNA", at positions 1813 to 2554 of the family's 2925-position model. The record is from RNAcentral. Lineage: Eukaryota; Metazoa; Chordata; Actinopteri; Cichliformes; Cichlidae.
ACAUCGCCUUUUGUCCCCAAAAAAUAAAAGGUCCCGCCUGCCCUGUGACUAUAAGUUUAACGGCCGCGGUAUUUUGACCGUGCAAAGGUAGCGCAAUCACUUGUCUUUUAAAUGAAGACCCGUAUGAAUGGCAUAACGAGGGCCUAACUGUCUCCUUUUUCCAGUCAAUGAAAUUGAUCUUCCCGUGCAGAAGCGGGAAUACUUACAUAAGACGAGAAGACCCUAUGGAGCUUUAGACCCCAGAAUAGACUAUGUUAAGCACCCAUAUAUAAAAAACAAAACUAAAUAGCCCCUAUUCUAUGUCUUUGGUUGGGGCGACCGUGGGGUAACAAAAAACCCCCAUAUGGAAUGAGAGCAUCUCACUCCCACAACCCAGAGCUACAACUCAAAGUACCAGAACUUCUGACCAAUAAGAUCCGGCACUAGCCGAUCAAUGGACCUAGUUACCCUAGGGAUAACAGCGCAAUCCUCUUUUAGAGCCCAUAUCGACAAGAGGGUUUACGACCUCGAUGUUGGAUCAGGACAUCCUAAUGGU